Molecule: long non-coding RNA, 1021 nt
Organism: Aplysia californica (California sea hare)
Lineage: Eukaryota; Metazoa; Mollusca; Gastropoda; Aplysiida; Aplysiidae
Exons: 4
Source: RefSeq, a predicted model, not a curated record
ACGAAGAAUCUGGUGUCUAUGGUUUAAGGGUCAUCUGAUUAUUCAUCGUAUACAGGAGACUCGUGUUCAAUUCCGCAGUGGGGUUGAGUUUUAUCGAGUGUCCGGGUCUUUCUGCUGGGAUGUCGUAAACAAAAUAAAUGCGUUUGAGAUGUGGUGCUUCUGUAGAAUUGCCAGGACAAGUUGGAAAAGAAAAAAAAAACCCAAGAGAUGAGUCAGAUUCUACACUCAAGACAGACCCUGCUGAGCAAAAUAAAAUGUAGAAAAAUGCAAUACUAUUGUCAUUUAAAAAGACACGAGACAAUUGAGAAAGAGGUGUUGGAAGGAAAUAUGUGCGGCUGGAGAGCCAGAGAAAGGCAACGAAUAACAUGGGUGGACAACAUCAGAGAACAUGGGCUGGAGUGGAGUGGAUAAUAUGUCAGAAUGUGAAACGGCAGCUCGCGGCCGUGAAAGAUAGAGGGUCAUUACUCGUCAGAGAUGUCACCUCCAGGUAUUCAGGUUGUAUCACUCUCAGCCCCGGGUGGCCCUAGUAGGCAGAGUCAAAAGUCCGCCUCUUAGAUAGUCUAAAGCGUGUCGUGAAGGACAUAAAAAUCACCCGUAUCGAACCCUCCAAAAUAUCGCCACGUAUAAAUGCAUGCAUUGGCUACUUCCUUCAUCUAACUCAGACUGUUUCAACUUUUCAGGUUUCUGCUCAAAUGAACGUGAGUGACGAUACACGUCGCCAGCCGAGUUACCAGCGACACAAGGGAUUUCGUCCAGUGACGUCACCAUACACGGUUGAUGACCCCAACCAGUGAGGUCACCAUAGCAGUCCGCCAACCACAGCAUUGUUCUUGUGAUGUGAACAGGAAAAAAAGAAACAAUUCCUGCAGUCUGGCUGUGAAACACAGACAGAAAGCGCCGUGGUUAUUACCACACAGGAAAUAAGCACGACCCGGGAGGUUUCUAACGUUAUCUAGAGUCAAACACAAGUCCGCCCUGUUGUCAGCGUGCACGUGUAUGGUGAGUACCUCGUUCACGGAGA